CGCCUUCUGACCCUCCAUACCUAGCAUACGUUCUUCCAGCAACUUGUACUUGCCAUCUCUUGGAGAGUACUGUUCAUUCUCAUAAUCUUCAUCGUCGUCCUCAUGGUUAAAGAGAUCAACAUUCUCCUCUUCUGAAUCAUUCUCUGUCUCCUCUUCUUGAUCCUUCGGAAUUCUAAUCUUGACUCCUGUGGCCUGUCCUUUAAGCCUUCUUCCCGGGUUAAU
This 222-nucleotide long non-coding RNA is filed under the name Lathyrus oleraceus (garden pea). RNAcentral describes it as "Pisum sativum (pea) long non-coding RNA (PSAT_LNC013621)". The record is from RNAcentral. Lineage: Eukaryota; Viridiplantae; Streptophyta; Magnoliopsida; Fabales; Fabaceae.